This 147-nucleotide unclassified non-coding RNA is filed under the name soil metagenome. RNAcentral's name for it is "partial internal transcribed spacer 1". The record is from RNAcentral.
CCGAGUUUACAACUCCCAAACCCCUGUGAACAUACCACUUGCUGCCUCGGCGGAUCAGCCCGCUCCCGGUAAAACGGGACGGCCCGCCAGAGGACCCCUAAACUCUGUUUCUAUAUGUAACUUCUGAGUAAAACCAUAAAUAAAUCA